GACGAACCGUGCAAACGUUAUUCGGAAUCACUGGGCUUAAAGGGCGCGUAGGCGGGCUCGCCAGCCAGGGGUGAAAGCCCACGGCUCAACCGUGGAAGUGCCUUUGAUACUGCGAGUCUCGAGGGAGGUAGGGGCGUGCGGAACUUCCGGUGGAGCGGUGAAAUGCGUAGAUAUCGGAAGGAACAUCGGUGGCGAAAGCGGCGCGCUGGACCUCUUCUGACGCUGAGGCGCGAAAGCCAGGGGAGCAAACGGG
This 253-nucleotide ribosomal RNA is filed under the name uncultured bacterium. Its description in RNAcentral is "partial 16S ribosomal RNA". It matches the Rfam family "Bacterial small subunit ribosomal RNA", at positions 524 to 776 of the family's 1533-position model. The record is from RNAcentral.